GUGCCAGCAGCCGCGGUAAUACGGAGGGUGCAAGCGUUAUCCGGAUUCAUUGGGUUUAAAGGGUGCGUAGGCGGUUUUUUAAGUCAGUGGUGAAACUAGCAGGCUUAACCUGUUACCUGCCAUUGAUACUGAUAGACUUGAAUAUUAUCGACGCGGGAGGAAUGCGACAAGUAGCGGUGAAAUGCUUAGAUAUGUCGCAGAACACCGAUAGCGAAGGCAUCUCGCGAGGUAAUUAUUGACGCUGAGGCACGAAAGCGUGGGGAUCAAACAGGAUUAGAUACCCUGGUAGUCCACGCCGUAAACGAUGAUAACUGGGUUUUUAUGGUAUUCUGUAAGAGCCUGAGCGAAAGCAUUAAGUUAUCCACCUGGGGAGUACGUUCGCAAGUAUGAAACUCAAAGAAAUUGACGGG
This 410-nucleotide ribosomal RNA is filed under the name uncultured Bacteroidota bacterium. RNAcentral describes it as "bacterial SSU rRNA". It matches the Rfam family "Bacterial small subunit ribosomal RNA", at positions 505 to 917 of the family's 1533-position model. Lineage: Bacteria; Pseudomonadati; Bacteroidota. The record is from RNAcentral.